Molecule: RNA transcript, 694 nt
Organism: Fragaria vesca subsp. vesca
Lineage: Eukaryota; Viridiplantae; Streptophyta; Magnoliopsida; Rosales; Rosaceae
Exons: 3
Source: RefSeq, a predicted model, not a curated record
AUUCUAACACGCUCAAUCUCUCUUUAUCAAAAAAAAAAAAAAUCCCUCUCUCUCUCAUUCAACUCCAUCUCGCAUAAAACGAGCUCCGGCAACAUCCACACCUGGAGACGACGACGAAGAAGAUCGGCAAGAAGCUACCUCGCCGGAGUCGAAUCUCUCUAGAUCAGAGCCUCACUUGAAGAUGACGAAGAUGCUCCUCCUCACCGUCACACCACCACCGCUAGGUCUCAAUGGCUAUUUGGCUGAUGUCGAUGAGUUAUCGGUGGUGAGAUCGGAGUAGGAAGGACUAAGAUAAUUGCCGAGAUCAAAGGUUUUGUUGUGAUUGCAAAUGUAAAGCUUAAAAAUUUGAAAAUCAUGUGAAUUUGGAUAUUGAUGCCUUCAUCAACCAAGUGGACAGGUCAUUCGGCCAAACAAGAAGUGUUUCAAAUGAAGUCUCGUGCUGAAGGUGGAUAAAUUAUGCAUGUGGGUUUAUCACCACUAAAAAACUAACAGUAGCUUUAUAGUAGUUUUAUACAACUACUGCAGUAGAUUUCUGUAACUAUAGUAGUAGCUUUGUACAUAAUAAUAUCAUUUACUUUUUGUAUCAUUAAAUAUGUUUUUAGCCUCAAUUGUAGUAGCAUUUGAAUGUUACCCGUAUCCUCUACAUUUUCACAAUUUUUGUACAUCUCUAAAAGUAACUUUCUCAACCUCUAGC